RNAcentral lists this long non-coding RNA (279 nucleotides) under Gossypium raimondii (Peruvian cotton). Its description in RNAcentral is "long non-coding RNA (GRAI_LNC005428)". Lineage: Eukaryota; Viridiplantae; Streptophyta; Magnoliopsida; Malvales; Malvaceae. The record is from RNAcentral.
UUCUCUAACUCUCUUGUACCCAUCAUAAUAAUAAUUAAUAGUGUGCAAUACCCAAAUUAACCUCGACAUUAUUGUAAUACCCUAAUUUUGCCCGGCCCAAAUUAAAUAAAUAAACAAAAAAAUAUAUAAAAAAUAAAAAUAAAAACAAAAACAAAAUUAUUAAAAGUCUAUCAGUCCAGCAAACCCAAAAUACAACCUAAGUCCAUUUACAGAUAGCCCAAUAACCCAAACACUAAACCCAAUUAGCCUUAGCCUAAGCCCAAUAACCCUAACCCAGCC